Molecule: transfer RNA, 124 nt
Filed under: Candidatus Woesearchaeota archaeon
Lineage: Archaea; Nanobdellati; Candidatus Woesearchaeota
Description: tRNA-Phe
Source: RNAcentral
GCCGGGGUCGCAUAAUCCGGUAUUGCACUCAGUUGAAACCUGAGGUGCCCUACACGGGCUAUCUGGGUUCAAAGCGUGGUGCAUAACGGUUUAAUGCAUCAGGGUGAAAAUCCCAGCCCCGGCG